AGAGUUUGAUCCUGGCUCAGAAUCAACGCUGGCGGCGUGCCUAACACAUGCAAGUCGCACGAGAAAGUGGAGCAAUCCAUGAGUAAAGUGGCGUACGGGUGAGUAACACGUGGAUAAUCUGCCCUUUAGUGGGGAAUACCGCUGGGAAACCGGCGACAAUACCGCAUAAGCUCGAGAGAGGAAAGCAGCAAUGCGCUGAAGGAGGAGUCCGCGGUCGAUUAGUUAGUUGGCGGGGUAAAGGCCUACCAAGACUGUGAUCGAUAGCCGGCCUGAGAGGGCACACGGCCACACUGGCACUGAAACACGGGCCAGACUCCUACGGGAGGCAGCAGUGGGGAAUCUUGCACAAUGGGGGAAACCCUGAUGCAGCGACGCCGCGUGAGCGAUGAAGCCCCUCGGGGUGUAAAGCUCUUUCGGCAGGGAAGAUUAUGACGGUACCUGCAAAAGCAGCUGCGGCUAACUACGUGCCAGCAGCCGCGGUAAUACGUAGGCAGCAAGCGUUGUUCGGAGUUACUGGGCGUAAAGGGUGCGUAGGCGGCUUUUUAAGUUUGGUGUGAAAUCUCCCGGCUCAACUGGGAGGGUGCGCCGAAUACUGAGAGGCUAGAGUGUGGGAGAGGAAAGUGGAAUUCCUGGUGUAGCGGUGAAAUGCGUAGAUAUCAGGAGGAACACCGGUGGUGUAAACGGCUUUCUGGACCAUAACUGACGCUGAGGCACGAAAGCGUGGGUAGCAAACAGGAUUAGAUACCCUGGUAGUCCACGCCCUAAACGAUGCAUAUUUGGUGUGGGCCAUUCAUUUGGUCUGUGCCGGAGCUAACGCGUUAAAUAUGCCGCCUGGGGAGUACAGUCGCAAGGCUGAAACUCAAAGGAAUUGACGG
RNAcentral lists this ribosomal RNA (875 nucleotides) under uncultured bacterium. Its description in RNAcentral is "bacterial SSU rRNA". It matches the Rfam family "Bacterial small subunit ribosomal RNA", at positions 8 to 916 of the family's 1533-position model. The record is from RNAcentral.